This is a long non-coding RNA of Nothobranchius furzeri (turquoise killifish), 4407 nucleotides long. The record is from Ensembl. NCBI's taxonomy places the organism in Eukaryota, Metazoa, Chordata, Actinopteri, Cyprinodontiformes, Nothobranchiidae.
AUGAAAUUAUNNNNNNNNNNNNNNNNNNNNNNNNNNNNNNNNNNNNNNNNNNNNNNNNNNNNNNNNNNNNNNNNNNNNNNNNNNNNNNNNNNNNNNNNNNNNNNNNNNNNNNNNNNNNNNNNNNNNNNNNNNNNNNNNNNNNNNNNNNNNNNNNNNNNNNNNNNNNNNNNNNNNNNNNNNNNNNNNNNNNNNNNNNNNNNNNNNNNNNNNNNNNNAUGUUACUGGACACGCUGGUCUGGUUGGUUAGACCAGUGUUUGAAGUGGAAAACACACACACACACACACACACACACACACACACACACACACACACCAAUUAAAAUAAUGCUGAUAGCGUGGACUAGAAGACAGGUGAUGGUUUACGUAUUUAAAUGAUGAUCAGGCUGCUGUAAAAUGUAAUCUCCAUCCACAUCCAGACACAAUUAUCCUCUAUUCUUUCUCUAUUUGCUCUGCUCUUGUCUGGGCUGACGUAGCUGAUGGUGCGCGCGGCGCGCCUAACUAGCGGCUGAUGCACAUUUUACGCAUUUGGAGAGGUGGGCUGGAUGCUUUGCUUUUACUGGAAGAUGGUCCACUUAACGCACGGGUGUAGACUACAUAUUAAUGACAAAUGAAUGAAAAUUAAAUUGUGAGUUUUUACUUCAUAUUUUAUAAAUAAAAAUGACGGGGGAACACAUUUAUGACGUCUUUUUAAACUAAAUUUUCUAGCGCGACCUGCCUGCUUCACUUAAGUCACUGCUUAUUAAGGUCCGUCCAAAAUUACCGUGGCCCACCCAAAAAUGAAAACCUGGCGCCGCGCCUGUUAUAAACCUCUGCAAAUUGUUGUUCUUCACUUUAUCAAACUCAGACUUUGUACAGCUAAUGUCAAGAUGUAAAAUUAUGAAUUCAGUCGAGCUCUUCCGUCCCUCCCUCUCCUGCUCUCCUGGAAACCCGACAUCGGCUGUCAGAAGUGGGAGGGGAAGAAGGAGAUGAGGCAAACAGAGUGAGUGCGACAUAGAGAAACCAGACUGGUGUGGAGGUGAGCAAAACAGCUGGAAAAGUGUGGGUGUUGAAUCCCCCACAUCCCCCAUGGGUGCGACGCUCAAUCCUCUCCCGCCUUUUCCUUUUCUGCAUCUUUGUUAUACUGAGUGAGGAAUAGGUAAAUAAAAGCUUGAUUCUGACAUGGAUCAUAAUAUGACUGAGGAAAUGGGGUUUUUUUGGGGGGUAAUAUCUGCUAAAAUAUUAAGAUAAAAUAUGUGUAAGCCUUUUCUGUGUUGGUACAUACCCGGUGUAUUUUCACCACAACAAGCCGAAUGUUGGACAAUGACCAAACAGGCAGGAUUUAUGGUGGGAAGCAAAUCGAUUGGUUGAAAGCCGGUUGUGUCAGAGCAACAGGAGAGGGAGGGAGGGAAGAGCCCCUGGAAGCCCUUGGGCUCUUCCCUCCCUCCCUCCCUCCCUCUCCUGCUGCUGCUUGAAACCGAAACCCGAGGCAAACAGACUGCGACGUAGAGACCAGACUGGUGUGGAGGUGAGCAAAACAGCUGGAAAAGUGAGGGUGUCAGUUGAACGAUCUCAAAAAGAAAAGUGUGGGUGUUGCAUCCCCCACAUCCCCCACGGGUGCGACGCCCAUGAGUCUGGGGACCACAGCAGCAGAUGACCUGUCACCUUUGACCUUUAGCCUGGUGCCACGCAACCAGUAGGCUUUGGUCACUGGACCUCAGGGACCUGCUGGGGGUGUAGGGACUGAGAUCACCUAUGCAUGACAUAAUUUUGAAUGUAAAUGUACAAUAAAUAAUUUUAUAUAAUUUUAUUUUGUAUAAUAACAAAACUAAAGUCUCAAUCAGGAGACAUUAGAUCAGGAUUUUCUCAAACAUGGUCCACUAAAACUGUUAGUGUGCACAUAGCAAGGUGCUGAUUAGAUGGCAUGAAUAUUGUACAGGUGCGCCUGAGGCUGUUUGGUCACACAGGUCAAUGCCACGGAUCUCAUAACCUUUGUAGGGGUGUGCAGCAGCCACCCAUGAGCUGUUACCCAUGACAUGAAUGUUCAGUUCUUUACCAUAACGUGUCUCCAAAGGCAUUUCAGAUCAUUUGGCAGCAGAUCCAACUGGCCUCACAACCACAGACCACCAGCCCAGGACCUCCACAUCCAGCAUGUUCACCUCCAGGAUUGUCUGAGACCCGUCACAUGGACAGCUGCAGCAACAAUCGGUUUGCAAAACCAAAUAAUUUCCACACAGACUGCCAGAAACCAUCUCAGGGAAGCUCAUCUGCAUGCCCGUUGUCCUCAUCGAGGUCUGGACCUGACUGCAGUUUGUCAUCAUAGCCGACUUGGGUGGGCAAACGCUCACAUUCAAAGAUGUCUGGCACGUUGAAGAGGUGUUGAGUUCACAGAUCACUCCAGGUUUUCACUGUUGAGGGCAGAUGGCAGACUGUGUAGUUGGCUUUGUUGGUGUGAGCACUCUGCUGAUGUCAGCGUUGUGGCCUAAGGUGGUGGUGUGGUCAUGGUAUGGGCAGGUGUGUGUUCUGGCCAACUAACAAGGGUGCAUUUGUUUGAUGGUGUUUUGAAAGCACAGACAUAGGGUGAUGAGAUCCUGAAGCCCGUUGUUACGUAGGAUGCUGCUGGCUAAACUGCUAUGCGGUUACCCAUCCACGUGGGCCAUCAGUACGCCUCUAACCCAUCCCAAAUGUCCUGUACUCAGAAUCUGAAUACGUUUACCUCAACACAUGUCGUUUUCACCAUGCCUUUAAUUACAGGGAACUUUAACCAGGAGACAUACCUUCCUGGUAAAUCUCCUGACUUCUCACAAUCACAACACUGAACCAUGCAAAGACUUCUCCCAACUUUCAGAAUAAAAGAUAAUAACGUGCUACGGGUACAACCACAGCAGUGUUUGGUACAACAGGUCAAAAUGAGCAAGCCCUGUGCAGAAAACCUAAAUGCACUUCUUCUGUGUCUGUGUUCUGAGACAGAAAGAAUAUCGCAUCAUUAUCAAGUGCUGCUUCCAAAAAGAAAUUAGGAGGGCAUGCUGGCUACCCCUGGGCAAUCCGUGAUAUAUAAAAAGAUCCAACACACCCCAUCAGAGUGAGUAAUCUCAUGGCUAAUGUCUAAUAUCUAAUAGCCUCAAUCAAAGCCCCUGCUACGAGCCUCUCAGCACUGAGUUAAUAAAUCAUGGCUCUAAUGAAAGAUGGGCCAGUGUCACAGCACAGAACUGCUAGGCUGUGGCACAGCCCCAUUUGUUAAAGCAUCUUCCCGUUGUUUUGGUGUCAUCUGACUUUUGUUCCUCUCUGUUUGCCAUCCUUGUUGCUUUAAGUGAGCUCUGUUAAAAUCCUUUUUUCUGCUCCUCUCUUGCUUGUUUAUUCUCCAGCAUCCGGAGGUUUUCUCACCGUUUCUUGCUGCGCUUCCUUGACUUCCUUCCUGCUUGACUGUUUUCAAUCCUCACUCCUUUUUGCUUUCCUCCACUCCUUCUUUUGCAAUGCUUUUUUAAAAUCUCAAGCCCACAUUUGUUUAUUUUCCUCUCGUCUCUCGCUCCCUUACACUUUAGUGUUUUCUGUGACAUCCCUUUCCCCGCCUCCCUGUCCAGUUUGCUGUUGUGCCUUGGUCUUGGCGGGUACGCUGUGUGGUGAACAGAGCUGCUGUGAGGAGGUAAUUAACUGCUCCUCAUUUAGACAUGAGGCUCAGUCAAUGCAACCAAAUGCCUACACAUGGGCUUGCAUUUUAAUUGUGGAGGCCACAGGCGCGUGCACACACACACACACACACACACACACAUACACACACCAACUCAAAUGACCUUGGACAAAAGAUCAGAUCACGAGUCCCCCUGAGGGAUGCGGUCAAACGUCUUCUCCAAAUCCACAAAACACAUGUAUACCCUCCAGGAUCCCCCUAAGGGUAUAGAGCUGGUCCAGUGCUCCAUGGCCAGGACGAAAACCACAUUGCUCCUCUUGAAUCUGAGGUUCAAUAAUCCGACGGACCCUCAUAUCCAGAGCACCUGAAUAGACCUUACCAGGAAGGCCAGGAGUGUGAUCCCCCUGUACUUGGAAUUCACCCUGCAGUCCCCCUUUUUAAAUAAUAGGACCACCACCCUGGUCUGACAGUCCAGUGGGACUGCCCCCGAUGUCCACGCGAUAUUGCAGAACCGCAUCAGCCAACACAGCCCCACAACAUCCAGAGCCUUAAGGAACUCCGGGUGGAUCUCAUCCACCCCUGGAGCCUUGCCACAGAGGAGCUUUUUAACCACCUCAGUGACCUCGCACCAGAGAUUUGAGAGGCCAACCCAAAGUCCCCCAGAGUCUGCUUCCUCACUAGAAGAUGUGUCGAUGGGAUUGAGGAGGUUAUCGAAGCAUUCUGCCCACCGAUCCACAACGUCCUGAUCAGAGGUCAGCAGCAUGCCGUCCCCACUAUAGAUAGUGUUGGUAGCGCACUGACAC